Molecule: ribosomal RNA, 246 nt
Filed under: uncultured bacterium
Lineage: Bacteria
Description: partial 16S ribosomal RNA
Rfam family: Bacterial small subunit ribosomal RNA
Source: RNAcentral
AUAGUGAUAUUAAGCAAAACCCAAAAAGCAGUCUCAGUUCGGAUUGAAGGCUGAAAUUCGCCUUCAUGAAGCCGGAAUUGCUAGUAAUGGCAGGUCAGCAUACUGCCGUGAAUACGUUCCCGGGCCUUGUACACACCGCCCGUCACACCAUGAGAGUUGGGGAUACCCGAAGCCUGUGAGCUAACAGUAAUGAAGCAGCAGUCGAAGGUAGAAUCAAUGAUUGGGGUGAAGUCGUAACAAGGUAUC